GAUGAACGCUGGCGGCGUGCUUAACACAUGCAAGUCGAACGAAGAUGCCGGAGUGCUUGCACUUUGGCAGACUGAGUGGCGGACGGGUGAGUAACGCGUGGGUAACCUGCCUUAUACAGGGGGAUAACAGUUGGAAACGACUGCUAAUACCGCAUAAGCGCACGGUAUCGCAUGAUACAGUGUGAAAAACUCCGGUGGUACAAGAUGGACCCGCGUCUGAUUAGCUUGUUGGUGAGGUAACGGCCCACCAAGGCGACGAUCAGUAGCCGACUUGAGAGAGUGAUCGGCCACAUUGGGACUGAGACACGGCCCAAAACUCCUACGGGAGGCAGCAGUAGGGAAUAUUGCACAAUGGGGGAAACCCUGAUGCAGCGACGCCGCGUGAAGGAAGAAGUAUUUCGGUAAUGUAAAACUUCUAAUCAGCAAGGAAGAAAAAUGACGGUACUUGACUAAGAAGCCCCGGCUAAAUAACGUG
Molecule: ribosomal RNA, 475 nt
Filed under: uncultured bacterium
Lineage: Bacteria
Description: bacterial SSU rRNA
Rfam family: Bacterial small subunit ribosomal RNA
Source: RNAcentral